AUAGCGACUAUCGUGGCAUAUCAAUAAGCGGAGGAAAAGAAACUAACAAGGAUUCCCCUAGUAACGGCGAGUGAAGCGGGAAGAGCUCAAAUUUGAAAUCUUAAAGGGUUUCCCUUUACGAAUUGUAGUUUAAAGAAGUGUUUUCUGUUAGAGUUUCGGUAAAAGUUCUUUGGAAUAGGACAUCAUAGAGGGUGAGAAUCCCGUAUUUGACCAUUAUUUCCAGCUGUGUGAUACACUUUCAAAGAGUCGGAUUGUUUGGGAAUGCAGUCCAAAAUGGGUGGUAAAUUUCAUCUAAAGCUAAAUACUGGCGAGAGACCGAUAGCGAACAAGUACCGUGAGGGAAAGAUGAAAGAGAACUUUGAAAAGAGAGUUAAACAGUACGUGAAAUUGUCAAAAGGGAAGCGUUUGACACCAGUGUUGUUUUCUCGAAAAUCAAUUAAAAAUGGUGGGAUGUUGUGUUGUAUUGACUUUAUCAGCUUUCUGCACUUUUUUCCUAUCUUUUUUAAUGCACUUUUCGUUUAACAAGUCAACAUCAGUUUCUUUUGUUGUAAAAGGGUCAUUGGAAGGUGGCUUUCUUUUCGGAGAAAGUGUUUAUAGCCUUUGAUCUCUGCAACCGGAGAGACUGAGGUCUGCAGCGUAGACUCUUCGGGGUUAAAUACAUUUGUGCUAAGCUAUAGCUUUUUAUAGACAACUUGUUGACUAUAUUUAGUCUUGUGGCUUACUCGCUUAUGCUAUUUUACCUACGCUUAGGAUGUUGAUAUGCAUGACUGAUAU
RNAcentral lists this ribosomal RNA (774 nucleotides) under uncultured Neocallimastigales. Its description in RNAcentral is "partial large subunit ribosomal RNA". It matches the Rfam family "Eukaryotic large subunit ribosomal RNA", at positions 22 to 629 of the family's 3401-position model. The record is from RNAcentral. Lineage: Eukaryota; Fungi; Neocallimastigomycota; Neocallimastigomycetes; Neocallimastigales.